GUGGGCCUAUCCAAUUCCAUGGUUCGUGGGUGUAGUUUUUUUUUUUUUUUUUUGUUCGUCCAAGUCUAUUAACCAAACUACACAUUGAAGGCCACAACCAGUCCAUCAUUUACUUCCCUCCUUGACUCCUUGGUUUAAAUGACCGUUGCAGAUCCAGCCAGCGCCACAAUAACCGCCAAGCCACUUCUUUUAUCUGGUCAAUACAAAUGAUGACUCUCCCUCCCUCCCUCUCUCUCUCUCUCUAUAUAUAUAUGUGUGUGUGUAUAAAUGAGAAGAACGAUGGUUUGUUUCUGUUUUAUUCAAAGUCAAAUUCAUCUUAAUAUGAAGCGUCAAUUUUGUACACGCAUUUCUCCUCUGCAAAACCAACCUCCACAAUCAACAUAGGUUCAAUCUCUUCCUUAAGAUCUCCUUCAGAUUGAUCAGUCAAUGGAUCAAACUUCACAGCUGACUAACCAAAUUGCAAACAACGAAGACUCUAAUACAGAUUAUCAGUCAGAUUCAGGACAUACAUUGCUUCAUGAAAGAUCAAGUCCAAGUAAUUAUAGUACUUCAAUCAUCUCUAGGAGGAGUCCACUGCCACUAUCAGGAGCCACAAGAGGAAUUAGUAACAGAGGCAUUGCUGAAACUUCAAACCUCUCGUCAGCAGAUACAACUGAGCAUAUCAGAAACACUGAUUCGGGUGCAUCAGGUGUUCCUAAUCCUAGGAAUUACACCACAUUGUCUCUCAACCCAGUUCUUGAUUGCCAUUUUCCUCCUCCUCGAAUGACUUAUGCAUUACAAUAUAUUCUACAGAGGCCUUUACUGCCUGCCUCCAGGUUCAUCGCUUGGAAUGGAAGUUCUGCACAUCAAGUCCAUAGCCAACCUCCUGCUUCAUCAGACGAGAUUUGGUCUCAGGAUGAGACUGAUCAUAUUAGGCGGCAAUAUGAGGAAUCAAUUCUCUGUAUGCUUAGGGUACCUGAUGAUUCAUUAGAAGGGUCAAUGGCAUUAACAAUCUUGCCAGCUGGCAAUGGAGUGAAUCUCAGACUUGUAUCGGAGGAGCAGGACAUUCCAUUUCUAAUCCAAUCAUUAUUUUCUUUUAUAACUGAUAUGAUUGAUCGCUAUAGAGAUAUGAGGAUUGACGUGGAUCGCAUGUCCUAUGAGGAGCUGUUGGCUUUGGAAGAUCACAUAGGGAAUGUUGACACAGGAUUGUCUGAAGAAACAAUGACGAAAUCCCUCAAACACUGUAAAUACUUUUUACUCACAGAAGAGAAUGCUGAGAAAGAUUCUUGCAGUGUGUGCCAGGAGGAUUAUGAAGAAGAGGAUGAUUUGGGAAUACUGAAUUGUGGCCAUCGCUUCCACAUGGAGUGUAUUAAACGAUGGCUAAGAUGCAAAAAUCUCUGCCCUGUAUGUAAAUCUACUGCUUUGUGUACAACAGACCACACAUUGCCACAAAUUUGUAGUCUGUAAGAUUACCUAGAUGAAGUUAAAACUUCAUUUUUGGGAAGAAAGUUAUUUUAUCUGUUUGUGCAGAUUACUGUGGAAGUCAAUUUGUUCAUAUAUAAACAUUAUGAGAAAAGAUACUUAGGAAGUUAGCCAUUAGCAGCUGCAAAUUUAUAGAAGGAUGAUUGUCCCAUCAAGUUUUGUUCUGGAACUGCCUAUAUGUACAGAUCCAAUCUUGAACUUUUUCUUCUGAAAGUAUAUUGAUUUUUUUUCCCCAAAA
This is an RNA transcript of Cornus florida, 1699 nucleotides long. It is a transcript of the gene named E3 ubiquitin-protein ligase MBR2-like, with no coding region annotated. NCBI's taxonomy places the organism in Eukaryota, Viridiplantae, Streptophyta, Magnoliopsida, Cornales, Cornaceae. The record is from RefSeq and is a predicted model, not a curated record. The transcript is spliced from 6 exons.